RNAcentral lists this ribosomal RNA (402 nucleotides) under uncultured bacterium. RNAcentral describes it as "bacterial SSU rRNA". It matches the Rfam family "Bacterial small subunit ribosomal RNA", at positions 355 to 774 of the family's 1533-position model. The record is from RNAcentral.
UGGGGAAUAUUGGACAAUGGGGGAAACCCUGAUCCAGCAAUGCCGCGUGAGUGAAGAAGGCCUUAGGGUUGUAAAGCUCUUUCGCCCGCGAAGAUAAUGACGGUAGCGGGAGAAGAAGCCCCGGCUAACUCCGUGCCAGCAGCCGCGGUAAUACGGAGGGGGCUAGCGUUGUUCGGAAUUACUGGGCGUAAAGCGUACGUAGGCGGAUGCGCAAGUUGGGGGUGAAAUCCCGGGGCUUAACCUCGGAAUUGCCCUCAAAACUGCACGUUUUGAGACCGAGAGAGGUAAGGGGAAUUCCUAGUGUAGAGGUGAAAUUCGUAGAUAUUAGGAAGAACACCAGUGGCGAAGGCGCCUUACUGGCUCGGUACUGACGCUGAGGUACGAAAGCGUGGGGAGCAAACA